GAUGAACGCUGGCGGCGUGCCUAACACAUGCAAGUCGAGCGAACCCUUCGGGGUGAGCGGCGGACGGGUGAGUAACGCGUGGGUAACCUGCCCUAUACACACGGAUAACGUACCGAAAGGUACGCUAAUACGGGAUAAAGUUGUUGGAUGGCCUCUUCUAACAAUCAAAGCUCUGGCGGUAUAGGAUGGACCCGCGUCUGACUAGCUAGGUGGUGAGGUAAUGGCUCACCAAGGCGACGAUCAGUAGCCGACCUGAGAGCGUGACCGGCCACACUGGAACUGAGACACGGUGCAGACUCCUACGGGAGGCAGCAGUGGGGAAUAUUGCACAAUGGGCGAAAGCCUGAUGCAGCCACGCCGCGUGAGCGAUGAAGGUCUUCGGAUCGUAAAGCUCUGUCCUCAAGGAAGAUAAUGACGGUACUUGAGGAGGAAGCCCCGGCUAACUACGUGCCAGCAGCCGCAGUAA
RNAcentral lists this ribosomal RNA (466 nucleotides) under uncultured bacterium. RNAcentral's name for it is "partial 16S ribosomal RNA". It matches the Rfam family "Bacterial small subunit ribosomal RNA", at positions 28 to 523 of the family's 1533-position model. The record is from RNAcentral.